AUGGAUAAGUCAAAGGUUUGGAAGCUUGUGGAGAUAACUGAUACAGCUCAGUGCAGAUCAUUAAAACUGGAUGAUAGUAUUAGCACAACUAAGGAUCCAAUUCCAACCACGUCGACCAGAGCAGCUCUGCUAUCGCCGCAGGCCGUCCGGUGCAAGAGACCACCGGACGGGUUCAAGCGCUUCGCGACGCGGGUCAAGAAGCCACCAGCUGAGACAACGAUUGAAAAGGCGGCACCACUGUCGUCUCCCUCCACACUCUCAGCCAUGCGCCGGCUGCGAGCUCGCACGCGCACGUGGUCGACCAGCACCACCGCCGCAGAUUACUCCCCGUCGUCGCGUCCAAGUCGUCGUCGUCAUCGUCGUCGUCGCUGGAGGACGACCCUGAAUAUGGUUACAUGCGGACGUUGGUAG
RNAcentral lists this ribosomal RNA (411 nucleotides) under Triticum aestivum (bread wheat). RNAcentral describes it as "partial small subunit ribosomal RNA". Lineage: Eukaryota; Viridiplantae; Streptophyta; Magnoliopsida; Poales; Poaceae. The record is from RNAcentral.